GAAGAGUCAUGGCAUGGCAUUUUCGUGCACUUGCGCUUGAUUUCAAGUUGAUUGUGAUGUACUAAGAGAAAGUACUUGGAAUUCUGCCUACGCACGGUUUGAUAAAUCCGGAUUUUUUUGUGCGUACGGCAUUUUUUAAGUCUGAGCGUACGGAACAUUUUAGUAGGAAGUCCACGCAAGUCUUUGUACAUGAGACGUAAAAUGAUUAAAACAGGAUCUGAUCAGUUUAUUUAAUCAAACUUCCUUUUUAUUAUUUGUCUCUUUUUUUGUUUCUGUCUCAUCAUCCUUCUUAACCACUUCUCUUUUUGUCUUUAACCCACCAGGAAGUUCCAACACAAAUGAUGAGAUUAUAUACUCAGAAGUCCGAAUUGUACAAUCAGACAAGACAGUUGUCGUGACAACCCCUAAUGCUGAUCCCAGUCAUCCCAACCGGCCUGGAUCACAUGACCCUGCUGACUCCUCACCUGAGGCAGUGACCCCUGCCUUGGCUAAACAGAGACUGCUGCUGUGUUGUCUGUGUGCCGUCUUGUUUGCUGCAGGCCUCAUCGUUACAGUUCUCUAUGUCCUUGGUAAAAUUUCACCAGAGGAAAAGUUUGUUUCAGGUUAGUGUCAGAAUCUGCAACCAUGGAAUGACAUGUAAUAAAACAGUCAGGCUUUUGAAUUCUAAAGGAAAG
Molecule: long non-coding RNA, 674 nt
Filed under: Astyanax mexicanus (Mexican tetra)
Lineage: Eukaryota; Metazoa; Chordata; Actinopteri; Characiformes; Acestrorhamphidae
Description: lncRNA (ENSAMXG00005003749.1)
Source: RNAcentral